RNAcentral lists this unclassified non-coding RNA (427 nucleotides) under plant metagenome. Its description in RNAcentral is "partial contains 5.8S ribosomal RNA, internal transcribed spacer 2, and large subunit ribosomal RNA". It matches the Rfam family "Bacterial small subunit ribosomal RNA", at positions 358 to 777 of the family's 1533-position model. The record is from RNAcentral.
GGAAUCUUCCACAAUGGGCGAAAGCCUGAUGGAGCAACGCCGCGUGGGUGAAGAAGGUCUUCGGAUCGUAAAACCCUGUUGUUAGAGAAGAAAGUGCGUGAGAGUAACUGUUCACGUUUCGACGGUAUCUAACCAGAAAGCCACGGCUAACUACGUGCCAGCAGCCGCGGUAAUACGUAGGUGGCAAGCGUUAUCCGGAUUUAUUGGGCGUAAAGGGAACGCAGGCGGUCUUUUAAGUCUGAUGUGAAAGCCUUCGGCUUAACCGGAGUAGUGCAUUGGAAACUGGGAGACUUGAGUGCAGAAGAGGAGAGUGGAACUCCAGGUGUAGCGGUGAAAUGCGUAGAUAUAUGGAAGAACACCAGUGGCGAAAGCGGCUCUCUGGUCUGUAACUGACGCUGAGGUUCGAAAGCGUGGGUAGCAAACAGGA